CGUAACGCGUGGGAAUCUGCCCUUUGCUUCGGAAUAACAGUGAGAAAUUACUGCUAAUACCGGAUGAUGUCUUCGGACCAAAGAUUUAUCGGCAAAGGAUGAGCCCGCGUAGGAUUAGCUAGUUGGUGGGGUAAUGGCCUACCAAGGCGACGAUCCUUAGCUGGUCUGAGAGGAUGAUCAGCCACACUGGGACUGAGACACGGCCCAGACUCCUACGGGAGGCAGCAGUGGGGAAUAUUGGACAAUGGGCGAAAGCCUGAUCCAGCAAUGCCGCGUGAGUGAUGAAGGCCUUAGGGUUGUA
This 301-nucleotide ribosomal RNA is filed under the name Novosphingobium sp. SP46. Its description in RNAcentral is "bacterial SSU rRNA". It matches the Rfam family "Bacterial small subunit ribosomal RNA", at positions 109 to 427 of the family's 1533-position model. The record is from RNAcentral. Lineage: Bacteria; Pseudomonadati; Pseudomonadota; Alphaproteobacteria; Sphingomonadales; Sphingomonadaceae.